This is an RNA transcript of Haplochromis burtoni (Burton's mouthbrooder), 6506 nucleotides long. It is a transcript of the gene named cyclin-dependent kinase 12, with no coding region annotated. The record is from RefSeq and is a predicted model, not a curated record. NCBI's taxonomy places the organism in Eukaryota, Metazoa, Chordata, Actinopteri, Cichliformes, Cichlidae. The transcript has 15 exons.
GGAUACAGUCAAGAUUGGCAGUGCUCCGUCUUCCGGUUCAAUCGGCUGUGCGCAGAAGUUGCUAGUUACAGGAGCCAUGAUGGCGUUUGUAGUCUCCUUGAGCUAGGGCUGUGGAUGAUAUUAAAUCCACUAGCAUCGCCCUAAAUAUAGGCCUGGUUGAUUUCCAGAGCCAUUGAUAAUAAACUGGAACAUCUACUGCACACGAAAAUAUUAUAAUUUCUUAUCAAUAUUGAAUUUAUAGGGGAUAAAACUUACAUUAAAGGGAACAUGUAAUCAGUACCAACCGGGUCAAGUUUUCAUUUUGUUGGAGAAACGAGCGUCUUUUAAUGAAGGCAUUUGCUUGUUUCUGAAUGCUAAGACCUUAUUCUGUGGAAUUAAAAACACCUUUAUUUAACUUGGCACCGGACAAGGACAGCUUUCACAAAGGGACUUUUUUUUUCUUUUUUAGGAGUCAGCUCGCUAGCUGCCGAGCUUUAGCUAGCUGUGCUAGCUAAACUGAGACGGAGACGACACCACAAUGAUCAGAUGUUUGGUUGGAGUCUUUUUCAUUCGCUGACUAACUGAAAGUACAAACUUCGCAGCACUGGAAAACCAACUUGGCAUUUAUCUGCUUUGACGAAAUAUGCUGGUGAUCUCAAUGGAAUGAAUUGGCAUUGAGGAGAAGUGGACGUAAGCGGCCUGGUGUGUUUAUUUUUGUAUUUUCCUGUCCUGAUUUCGCUUAGUAAGACUUGUUUUGACAUUUGGAGUUGCUACUGGUCUCCUGUGAAUGAAUUGCCUGGAUCACCGAGGCCAAGUCGCAGAAGAGGCACCGACGCCGACGUGAGGGAUGCCUGGGUCGGACCGACACCAUGGGACCAAGAGGAAGCCGGAAUCUAGCAUCGGUGGUGUGCCACACCAGACCCAGGGCCCGACUCAUACCUCUGCGGGAGACAUGAUGAGCAAGGACGGCAAGGUGCAGUUAAAAACUUCAAUGUCCUCUUCUUCUUUAAAACGCAAACGGCAUAAAUCAACAAAACAUAAUCGGGAAUCCUUGGCGGCACCUGACGAUUUUACCCUCGGCGAUACGGCGCCUCCUGGUGUCAACACGGUGAAGCCUCUAGUGGAGUACGACGAUAUUAGCUCCGACUCGGACACCUUCUCGGACCCACCGUCCUCCAGGCCUUUUGAGAGGGGGGGAAAUCGACUGGAGCCCUCACCAGACUACGAUAGGGAUAUUGGCGAAGAAGAAGGUAAUAGAGAGAGCAGGGGGCACAGACACCCACGAAAAAAGUCCAAGGACACUAACAAAGUUAGAGACUCUGGAAAUGGAGAACGUGGGUCCAAGAAAAAGAGCAGUAAAGAUCGCGAGAAAGUGACUUCUGGAAAGGGCAAGGAGAAGGAGGCCUCGUUAGGCUCCUCAUCUAAACGCCAGGUGCCGUCAGAGGGGGAUUCCAAACGUGGGGAGCUGAUGCUCUCCUCUCAGGCACCGCCUGCAGCCAGUGUAGGUAGCACUACUUCUUCUACAUCCUCAUCUCGCAGCAAGGAGAGCAGCCGCUCAGGGAAGUCUCGCAAAGACAGGCAACAGCGGAGAGAAGGCCGAGGGGAGGCCAGCCGCAGCUCCUCCCAGAGGAGCCGGACAGAUAGAAGCCAUCGCAAGUCCUCCAAGAGCCACAAGUCAAGCCCGAAGGGGAAGUCUUCAAGUAGGGGUAGCCCACGGAGAAAGGGCACCAGCUCUGCAUUGUCGCCGAGUCCCAGAAGAGGGGCCGGUAGUGAGAGUCCACUGGGCGGUGGGUAUGGACAUCAGGGGGAUGACAGCUACUCAAGACGGAGGGCGGCCCAGCAAAGCCCGAGUACCUAUGGUGAUGUGUCUCGCCGUAGCAGGCAGAGAUCAGACAGCCCCUACGGCAGCAGACACAGGUCCUCCAGCUUUGAGAGGGACAGCAGCCCUUACUCUAGGAGACGCUCCACGAGCCCCUAUGGUAACCGCAGGUCCUCCAGUACGAGCCCCAUGUCUCGACGCUCGGGCCGCUCCAGGAGUCGCUCCCCUCUGCACUACUCUUCUUCUCACCGCUCCUCCUCUCGUUCCCGCGGUAAGAGGCACACCUCCUCUGCUGGAACAGGGAGCAUUUCCCACAGUAACCGGCCAGCUAGCCGCUCCCCUCCUUCGUCACGUCUGCCCCUCAAUUCCAGCUUAGGUGCAGAGUUGAGUCGCAGGAAGAAGGAACGCCUGGCUGCUGAGGCGGCUGCUCGUGCUAGUGGUGGCGCCUCUCCACUUCCGACAGCUCAAAAACCGUCAAGCUCCUCAUCCUCACGGCCUGCUAAAGCUGAAGCUCUACAGCCAGAAAAAGGUGCAACAGCAGUAGCAGCAUCAGAACCUCAGCCCCCACCAACCCAGCAGUUAUCCCAUGAUGUUCCCAAUGCUGAUGAGCCGAUGACUGCAACUCUAACAUCCUCUUCAAACAACUCUCCUGCACCGCCGCCACCUCCUCCACAGCCCUCUUCUCCAGCGCCACCCAAUCCAGCCACACAGGUUCCACCACCACCUCAGGCAGAAACAAACAUUCAGCCUCCUACACCCUCAACCGUGUCACAAACUAAAUCGCCAGCAACAGUUCCUGCUCGCAGCCCUGUCCGCCAGACCCCACUCCACAAGACUUCGACUCUUCCUCCCCUGCCGCUACCACCUGCACUGCUGGGAAAUGCUCAGGACAGCCCAAAGAAAUCCACUCCUCCCCAGAGGCCAUCAAGAAAGGACAAAGAAGGUCGCAACCGCCCUUCUAUUAUUGAUCUGCCUUUACCGCCCACCUUGCUUGGAGGGGACUCUUCACCCCCACAGUUACCUGUCCGCCAGCCUCCUCUCUUACCCCAGACAGCCCUUAAGAAGAGACCAAAGAUUUGUUGCCCGCGAUAUGGUGAGCGCAAACAUACCCAAAGUGACUGGGGCAAACGGUGUGUAGAUAAAUUUGAUAUAAUUGGCAUCAUAGGGGAAGGCACCUAUGGCCAAGUGUACAAGGCCAAGGACAAAGACACUGGUGAACUGGUGGCUUUGAAGAAAGUGCGUUUGGACAAUGAAAAAGAGGGCUUCCCCAUCACAGCCAUCAGAGAGAUUAAGAUCUUGCGGCAGCUCAAACACCGUAGUGUUGUCAACAUGAAGGAAAUUGUCACUGACAAGCAAGAUGCACUUGACUUUAAAAAGGAUAAAGGAGCUUUUUACCUGGUGUUUGAGUACAUGGACCAUGAUCUGAUGGGCCUGCUGGAGUCAGGCCUGGUCCAGUUCUCCCAUGAGCACAUCCGCAGCUUCAUGCGUCAGCUGAUGGAGGGCCUGGACUACUGCCACAAAAACAACUUCCUGCACAGAGACAUCAAAUGCUCCAACAUACUGCUAAAUAACAAAGGUCAGAUCAAACUGGCUGACUUUGGUUUGGCUCGUCUUUACAACUCAGAGGAAAGCCGGCCAUACACUAAUAAAGUAAUCACACUAUGGUAUCGUCCCCCUGAGCUUCUGCUGGGAGAGGAGAGAUAUUCUCCAGCCAUUGAUGUUUGGAGUUGUGGGUGUAUUCUUGGAGAGCUCUUUACCAAGAAGCCCAUCUUCCAGGCUAACCAGGAACUUCUGCAACUAGAGCUGAUCAGCCGACUGUGUGGGAGUCCCUGUCCGGCCGUUUGGCCUGAUGUCAUUAAACUUCCAUUGUUCAACACAAUGAAACCCAAGAAGCAGUACAGACGGCGACUACGGGAGGAGUUUGCACAUUUACCUACUCCUGCCCUGGACUUACUGGACCGAAUGCUGACCCUUGACCCUGCACGCCGUUGCACAUCGGAGCAAGCGCUCUUCAGUGACUUCCUGCAUGAUGUUGAGCCCAACAGGAUGCCACCACCAGACCUUCCUCAUCAUCAAGACUGUCACGAGUUGUGGAGCAAGAAGAGAAGACGUGCACGUCAGAGCGGGGUCGUCGAGGAUGUGCCUGUGCCCAAAGUGCCCCGUAAAGAUGUGACAGGGACCUCCAGCGGAGACAACCCUCGUCCCCCAAACAGCCCCACUGGAGCUCCACCACCUCCUCCAGGAAAACCACCCUCCACAACCAACAUAGAGAGUGAGUUGUCAGGCCUGGCAUCGGCUGCAGAGCAGUUGAAUCAGACAGAGCUGGCAGUGCUGCUAAACCUUCUCCAGGGACAGGCAGACGGCUUGCCCCAGGUUGCUCAGCUCCUCAACCUCCCCAAUCCAGAGACUCUCAGCCAGUUGUUGUCUGCUGUUAGUGAGUCCUCUGACCACCAGGGGGCACCAGAGGACCAGACCCAGGCAGCUUCCAGGUCUCAGCCCCCAGAGCCGCCUCCUGAACCCCAAGAGAUCUCACCGACAUCUGGAGAUCCGCCACUCAGCCAGGAAGACCAGGCCAAGCUACUGGCUCUCCUUUUGGGCCAAAUUAUAAAGCCACAAACCGAGGAGCAAGGCGAUGAAAGUAAUGGCGUUCAGUCAGAGGAGGCACUAACGCGCGGUUCGUCCGCUUCUACUACUGAUUGCAAGGAUGGUGCAGUGACAAAAAGAAAAAAGCUUGGGGCCAACCAGGGGCCUUCAACUGUUGAGCAACGUCCACCCUCUCCACCAGGUCCACCUCCAUCAACUGUUGGAAACUCCCAGCAGGCUGCGCCAGAAACGCAACCCAGCCAGGACAUCAGCCCUGCUGUAGCAGCUGCCUUGCUCCAGCUCAUCUCUCAGCAGGACUCGGAAUGUGGUGCCUCACAGCGCAGCAACGAUCCUUCUCCUACUGUGGAUGCUCUUGCCCACAGACAGUGCCCUCCACCAUGGGUUGCAAGUUCUCCACCUAAACCUUCAGCUGCAGCUGAAGCCCCAGCAGGACUAGCGACUGCUGCUCCUACCACUGCAGCACAGUUUCCCAAAGACCAGGACCUCCGCUUUUCCCAUGGAGCUGCCCGCUGAUCCUCAGUUCCCCGUCGAGAUCAACCUGGGUACCGUGGGACUGGUCCAGCAAUCCUGGCCUAUAAGGAAAUACAGAGGGACACCUACAGAGUAUGACUCACUGGACCCUGUGCAGCAAAAUCAGGAUGCAAGAAAAAGAAGAAAGUGAAGUGAGACGACAGAAGAUGAGAUUCACGGGCAGGCAAAGAGGGCAACUGCUGAGCAGGAGCAAAGUAAGCCAUUUCAAGCUGCAUUUUAAUGUUUCACUUUAAGCAAACGAUUAGGUCAGUCAAACUGUGAGGGAUAUUUCACACAUUAAGAUAUUUUCAUGUGGGCCUUUCAGAAACACAACAAAACUAACGAUUCUGGACCAAUUUGUAAAUCAGUCAUUAUAUCUUAUAUGCUGUGAUAUAUUUCUCGAUUUUAUCUGGAUUUAUAAUUAUCAUGUAAAGUAUCCGAAUACCCAUCUAUUCUACUUGCGUGCACACAGCUAUGAGAACGUGCAUUAAUGCGGGCCUGCGUGGCAUCUCGUUUGUGGAGUGUAAAUCUGGGUUGCUGUCGUAUCUCUGAGCCGUGCUACAGUUUGGUGUCGAGUCUGCUGACUGAGGCUGUUUGAUCAGUGACUAUGUGUAAACUCAGUGAAAGGAGGCACAGACUCCCUCAGUUGCUCAUCUAAAGCACACACUACACAAAGUGGGAUUAAGGAAAAAAUAGUUAAUAUAAGACAGAAAUUGCAUAUAAGUAGUAGUGUUUUCUUGACUGGAAAUGUAAACCUAACUCCCCACCAACAUAUUGUCGCCGAAUGGGGGGAAAAAACAAAACAAAACACAUUGAAUUUUGAAAGCAUUUCGGGUCGUGAGCAAAUUGUGCUGUCUUCAUCAUAUCCUUCUUUGUCUUCUAUCAAGCAGAAUUUAAUGUCAGCCAUUUCGUUUAUGGCUACAUCUUUAUUUAUGUGAUAUUUCAAAAAUUGAUUGACUUUAUCCCAGCAGUGAUAUAUGCUUUACUGCUGCAACAGCAUGCUUUAUUGAUGCCAUAACACCAUCUCCAUUUCUUCUCAGUUUAUAGUUUUGUGAGAAAAGUGCUCUCUCUCGCUCUCUCUCUCUCUCACUCACACUCACACACACACACACACACACACACACACAUUAUUUUUUGAUUGUUGAACAGCAGUGAGGCCAACCAAAGAGGGCUUUUUUAGGAGGGCUUUUUGGAUCAGCCAGAUGAUACAGAUGUGUGAUGCUUUUAUAUUAAGUCACUGCUGCCAGGUCAUAAAAUGAAAAUAAUCUGGAAAAAUUGGACCAAAUUCUAAAUGAUUUGCUCUAACAAUAAUCAAUACCCUCACAGGCGGAUGAUGCUGACUUUUAAAAAUCUUUCCCUGACCUUAUCGCAGUGAACUCCCCGUUAGCCAAAGACACUUCACCCUCUCUGCGUGACGCUGCACUUUUGCAAAAGUAUUUUUCCAAGGUCUCACCAUCUCAUUACCAAUUCUAUUCAAAGCGCUUCAUGAGCUAGGCAACAUUAUUGUCUCUCUCUAUGAGUCUGUGUUGAUCCUGCCUCUUUAAGGGCAGAGGGGCUGCUGGGAAAGCUGUCGGUGAGGAUGGUGGAAGAGGAA